RNAcentral lists this unclassified non-coding RNA (369 nucleotides) under Hevea brasiliensis (rubber tree). The record is from RNAcentral. Lineage: Eukaryota; Viridiplantae; Streptophyta; Magnoliopsida; Malpighiales; Euphorbiaceae.
AAAGUAAUUGUGCAAGUAAGGAGUAAUUUUCAUAUCCAAAAGUACUAAAAUGAAGCUUGGAAAUUAAAAAUUGUGAAGUUGCUGAAAUCCGCAUGACUUGCUACAUAACCUGUACAGUUUUUGCAUAGGAAUUAGAAGGAAUUGAAUAUCUGCCGAAAAGUGCACAACUUAGUGCAUAGCUUACGCGGGUUCCUUAUGCAGCUUCACAGAGGAGACCCUACACCAAUCGAAACUUGCACAACCUAUUGCAUAACUUAUGCACUUUCACGCCUUCCCUUAUGCAGCUUUACGGAAGAAACUCUGCAACUGCUAAAACUUGCACAACUGACUGCGCAACUUGUGCAGCUGUAGACCCUUAUUUUGUGAUGA